UUUUAAAAAAGUUGUUAAAAAAAGUUGUUAAAAUAUCAUUGUUCCACCGAUAACCAAUAACCUCUUUGGUUUUGCCUUUUAAGGGGAACAAACAACCCCUCUCCUCUUUCUAAGAUUCCCCAUCAUAACAUCUUUACAUAAUAACAAAAAUCCAUAACCACACUCAUAAUCAAUACAGUCAAAUAAAAAACCAUUGUGUUUCUGUCUCACUUCCUCAAACAUGAUGGGUGGUUAGGGUCUCAAACUUCCUAUGCCUCCUCCAAUUCCAAUCCUUACUUUUCUUUCCUUUUUCACAACCCCAUAUCCCAUGCUUCCACUCCUUGUAGGUCCUUCAAAUCACACCACCCACGCGCUUUAACAUUCUGUUUUUUUCCACUUUUCAUUAUAAAUAUUCUUAAAUCAACACUUCC
RNAcentral lists this long non-coding RNA (410 nucleotides) under Vigna radiata. RNAcentral's name for it is "long non-coding RNA (VRAD_LNC018350)". Lineage: Eukaryota; Viridiplantae; Streptophyta; Magnoliopsida; Fabales; Fabaceae. The record is from RNAcentral.